GGCUGGUCCGCGUGCAGUGGUGUUUACAAUUAAUUGAUCACAGCCAGUUACAGAUUUCUUUGUUCCUUCUCCACUCCCACUGCUUCACUUGACUAGCCUUUU
Y RNA from Balaenoptera musculus (blue whale), 102 nucleotides. It matches the Rfam family "Y RNA". From Rfam's summary of the family: Y RNAs are components of the Ro ribonucleoprotein particle (Ro RNP), in association with Ro60 and La proteins. The Y RNAs and Ro60 and La proteins are well conserved, but the function of the Ro RNP is not known. In humans the RNA component can be one of four small RNAs -- hY1, hY3, hY4 and hY5. The record is from Ensembl. NCBI's taxonomy places the organism in Eukaryota, Metazoa, Chordata, Mammalia, Artiodactyla, Balaenopteridae.